AAGGGUUUAGCUUAGUUAAAGUGGUUGAUUUGCAUUCAAUCGAUGCAGGAUAGUCUUGCAAUCCCUA
This 67-nucleotide transfer RNA is filed under the name Nomascus leucogenys (northern white-cheeked gibbon). It matches the Rfam family "tRNA". From Rfam's summary of the family: Transfer RNA (tRNA) molecules are approximately 80 nucleotides in length. Their secondary structure includes four short double-helical elements and three loops (D, anti-codon, and T loops). The record is from Rfam by way of RNAcentral. Lineage: Eukaryota; Metazoa; Chordata; Mammalia; Primates; Hylobatidae.